CCCUGGGGGCCCGCGGGGGUUGAUGCUGGCGGAGGGAGCGGGGCGAGGCCGGGUCGGGGGCGUCGGUGCGGCCGGGAUGGGGUGGGGUGGCGCGUGGGGAGCGGGCGGCUGCACUGGAGUGGUUGAGGGCCCCGUCCAGGCACUUACGGAGUUCUCCAAGGAUGGGAGCUCCCUCAUCUCCUCUGCUUGGCACUGCCCAGCUGCCGGCACCCUGCUGCCCUGCUAUCCUCCAGGGCUGAACCACCAGCGAUAAGCAGAGUUGUGAGUGCCAAGGAUAAGGCAGAGCUGUGAGCUGCCAGGGAAAUAGUUUGCAUUCCUGGAGCAGGAGCUGCAGGAAUGCACUCACCGGCUGAGCCGCCCUCAUUUAUUGGAGCAUAGCACCAUCCUGACCUGCCCCGGCUGACAGGCCAACCAAAGACUGAGCAAAUCCCUGCUCUGGACUCUGAGGGCUGCAGUGCCCCUCAGUAAAUACACUGAAAGGUGCAGGGUGGGGUGCGUGUGCUCAGCCUUGUAACGCUUCCCCAGCACUCGGGACAGGGCCCAGAUGUUAAGGAAUGUGUUGUGAAUCAGGCUGUGACCAAACUGUGUUAGAAACCAGAAAAUAAUGCCCUCCCUUUCUAACAGCUCCCUUGCAAGAACUCUGCUUAGCAACAGGGACAGCUUGCCCCCCCCCCUCCCAACAUGGCACACUCCUUACAGUGAGCUGCAGCCCCUCCAGGGAGCAACGUGUCACCUGUUACAGCCACCGCAGCCCAAGCUGACAGCAUUGGAUUCACAGAGUGGGGCUGGGGAGCAGCAGUAAAUCACUCAGGAGGCCUUCAUUGCCUGCCGAGCUUCUAAGUGAUGGAUAGCACUGAGGCACAAGGGGAAAACAAUUCCCUCUGUCAAACCAACCCCUCUAUCUGGCCUCUCUGAGCCUUGCUGUGCCCUGAGGAGGCUGAGGGAAGAAGCAUCCCCAGGCAGGGCUGUUUUGUGUUCCCUUUGCAGAAAAAUCAGCAGCUGAAGUGUGAACUGUGUUGGCCACGACCAGAAGCAGACCAAGCUGAGGCCCCUGAGAGCUUUAGGAAACAAACCCUUUGGUGGGACAGAAGUAUCACGGAAUGGAAGUACCGACUUUGGAAUAGAAGUGUGUAUUUUCAGCUUUCAUAAACAAAGCAAGGAAGAAUCUGUGACUUCGCUCAGAUCGGGGCUUGUUCCGACUUUCUUUUGUAAGGGUCGUGCACACGUUUUCUGCUGCUCCGUUUUAUCUGUGAGCUAACAUCUGCGGGAUGUUUUAGUGCUGGGCCCACAGGAGCCCUCACCUCAGGGGAAGCAGCCUUCUUGCUGAGCUGCUGCACUGACACCGCUGACCUUCAUAGCCAUGCAAAGUACAUUUCCUUCCUAUGCCAAAGGAUAAAAUCAGCUGUGGGAAGAACAAUGCAUGCACAGACAACGUGGAAAACCCUGCUGAAGACCUUCAGACACCGAACCAUGAAGCUGCACUUGGCCUCGCUCCAGGCUCUGUACGCAUGAGCAUACGCUGUGGUUAUGAGCUCCUGCAGACAGGAAUCACAGCCAAGCAACUUACAGGCAAAUGUUUUAGGGCCUGAUGUGCCACGGUUUAGGUGAGUGUAAAGCAGCAAAGUACCUCUGAAGUUCUGUGCUCCUGUUUAUUCUCAGUGGGUUUUAGGCUAGGGGUACUCCCAAGUGAACAUACGAUUAACUUGAACUUGCUGUCAGCAUGGAGGUGUAACGCUACACUGCCUCACACACCCUGAUGCUGCAAUUAGAUACCAGCCCAAUUCGUCAUAGUUCCUGUGAGCUUUACAGCUCAUGCCUAUUAAGGAAUGAAGGGGUUCACAACUGAUGUGAUAGUAUGAGGCCAAAAUGUAUGUGCUUACUUGAAUCGACUUAUUAUAAAUACAGUCCUUGGAAGAAAAGCCAGUGCUCAUCUAUUCCGCGUUGGUUCCAAUGGGCAAGGCUUAUGGAUUGCAGUGUAUUUGUUCAUGCCAUAUAAUGCUGACCACUUGCAGCACAGCCACCCUCUGCCUGAAAGAGCAGCAUGAAUGCAGGCAGCUUUGUCAGGAGGAUGCCAUGGGAGAAUGGCUCAGGCAUGGCGGGGUCUUUCUGUGCAGCAGACGAUUUGCUUCCCUCUCCUUGCAGUGGUGUAGCCAGCUUUAUCCCUCAUGAAGGAUGAGGUUGUUGGCUUACAAGUGUUGGGUCUGUGGCUCCCUACAGUGGAGGACUUUGGGUCAGGUGUGUUGUGCUGGAAGGACAACACCGAGGGCUGCUGGGCAAGUAUGCCUUGAGCCUUGAUAGUGAUAGAAGAAGCACUGUCCAUUCCAACACAGCAGUUUGCCCUUUUCUGGAGAGAAAGAGAAAACAGAUAAUUUUUUCCCCUCUUCUUUUUCCUGUGGAAAGCCUUAGGCUCCUCCAGGGGGUGAGUAGUGGAGGAAGGGGGUGGAUGGAAAGAGCUGGUGGCAGCAGAGGAGGAGAGGCCAGGAGACCGUGGGGCAGGAAGGCUGCUGCCGGGAACUUUGUCAGCGCGAAAAGGCCAAACCUCAUCCUCCACCUUCUGAAAACUGCCGGAAUGCAGCUUUUUGGAGACGUUGUUCCCCCUCACAGCUGCCCCAGGGGGCCCUGCAUUCCUCUGGGAGGCCUGCCCUGUCUGCCUCCUCUUUCUUCCCUCCAUAUUUAACCCCCAAAGAUCUUAGGCCAAGAAGGGCUUAUGCCACCCCCAGCACCCCAUGGGCUGGUGCAGGGCCCUUCAUGCUGAGCUGCUGCUGUGGGGUGAGCAGUGCUUCUCCACAGACACAGCAGGGCAGGUGAAAUUUUGGGCUGUUGAAGAAGUGUCCUGCCUGAGCAGCCACUGUCUGGAGCCGUGUCCUGCUAUGCCAUGUGUAGCCCAGCUGCUGGACAAGGAAAAUGCCUGUGUGUCUGUUUUCACGUGGAACAAAAAGGGAGAAAUCACAUCACAGGGACAAAGCUGUCCCCUGCCCCAGCACAGCACAGGGGGAGGAUGAGGAGGCUGCGGCCCAUCUGAGUGUGUGCAUCCUGUCCUCAGAACAAGGGCAUGUACAGGGCCUGACUGAUUUUUUGCUUCCAUUACACUACAACUGCCUGUUACAGGGCAUGCUCUCUGCAGUAAAUUACACUAAGAGCCAUUUAAUUAACGCUAAUGGCACAGAAGAGCCAGUGGCAGCCUAGGGACAGCUUUCUGGGGCUGUAAAGAUGCUUCAAGCAGCGAGAGUAGUGCUGGGAAAUCACCGAGAACCCAACAGGAGCCCAGGCAGAAGCAAAUGCCACGAGCAGAGGGUGUGCAGUGCAUGUGAUCCCCCUUUGCCCUCAGCCCACCAGGCCAAAUGCUUGCUUUUGGUGGCUUCAGAGUUACACCUGUAUACCAUGGGUGGCUUUGUUGGUUUUCUUCUUCCCUACAUCAAACAGUUUGGGGUGGGUUUUUUUUUUCUGUUUUCUACUAAAAAUAGCCUUCCAUCGGAACAAACACUCAUUUGGAGACGUUUCCAGCUCUGUUUCCCUGCUCUUUAUCAGCGCACUAACACAAACAGCAUGGUGACCUGCUCAACUAGCAUGCGUGCCCUUUAGUAAUCCCAGGCUGGAGGAGCACCGCACGCCGACGACAUCCUGCCAUCAUUAGUCAUCAGCUGAGCGUGGCUUUGCAGGGCUGAGUGGAUACAGCCAGUGCAUCCAGCCGCUCCUCUGUGCGUGUCCUAGAAGGAUCCCUCUGACUAACAGAUGGUUUUGGAUGCUCUUUCACAUGGGAAAAUUGGGAAGAACAUAUUUUUAUUGCACCCGCGCUAUUCCAUCCAGCCACGUGGAUCUCCAGGGAUGGAGACGUACUUAAGAAAAAUAUUCAUUUCUGAAAGCUUCUACCAUUUUUUUCACAGCACUUUCUUGGCUUAGCCAGCCUAGCAACGCAUGCCUGUAAUCUUAUUUUGCAGCAAUUAGUAAAAUUUGCUAAUUAUACCGCUGACUAUUUCAAACCAGUUGAUUUCCCUUUGUAGCAGCAAAUAAUUUCCUGUUACACCAGUUCUCUUUAAUUUUCUUCCGAAACAAAACCAGGCCAGCAGUGCCAGCAGUGUCAUGCUGCUGUUAUUAAAUCGCUCCCUUUUCUGCCCUGG
Molecule: non-coding RNA, 4118 nt
Organism: Coturnix japonica (Japanese quail)
Lineage: Eukaryota; Metazoa; Chordata; Aves; Galliformes; Phasianidae
Source: RefSeq, a predicted model, not a curated record